UACGUAGGUGGCAAGCGUUGUCCGGAUUUAUUGGGUUUAAAGGGUGCGUAGGCGGCCUUGUAAGUCAGUGCUGAAAUAUCCCGGCUUAACCGGGAGGGUGGCAUUGAUACUGCAGGGCUUGAGUAAAGUUGAGGUUGGCGGAAUUGACGGUGUAGCGGUGAAAUGCUUAGAUAUCGUCAAGAACACCGAUAGUGAAGACAGCUAAC
This 206-nucleotide ribosomal RNA is filed under the name uncultured bacterium. RNAcentral describes it as "partial 16S ribosomal RNA". It matches the Rfam family "Bacterial small subunit ribosomal RNA", at positions 524 to 729 of the family's 1533-position model. The record is from RNAcentral.